This 253-nucleotide ribosomal RNA is filed under the name uncultured bacterium. RNAcentral's name for it is "partial 16S ribosomal RNA". It matches the Rfam family "Bacterial small subunit ribosomal RNA", at positions 524 to 776 of the family's 1533-position model. The record is from RNAcentral.
UACAGAGGGGGCAAGCGUUGUUCGGAAUUACUGGGCGUAAAGGGCGCGUAGACGGCCUUCUAAGUCGAACGUGAAAUCCCCGGGCUCAACCCGGGAACUGCGUCCGAUACUGGAAGGCUUGAAUCCGGGAGAGGAAUGUGGAAUUCCAGGUGUAGCGGUGAAAUGCGUAGAUAUCUGGAGGAACACCGGUGGCGAAGGCGACAUCCUGGACCGGUAUUGACGCUGAGGCGCGAAAGCCAGGGGAGCAAACGGG